AGAAGUAAGCAAGGGCAAACGGAGGAUGCCUUGGCUCUCGGAGGCGACGAAGGACGUGAUAAGCUGCGAAAAGCUGCGGGGAGGUGCAAAUAACCUUUGAUCCGUGGAUAUCCGAAUGGGGCAACCCGUUGAGUUGAAGACUCAACAUUCUUUUAAAAAGAAGGCGAACGUGGGGAACUGAAACAUCUCAUUACCCAUAGGAGGAGAAAAUAACAAUGAUUUCGCAAGUAGUGGCGAGCGAACGCGAAAGAGCCCAAACCUAUGUUGUUUAGGCGAUAUAGGGGUUGUAGGACUGCGAUAUAAGAUGAUGAAUUGAAUCAGAAUCGUAAUGGAAAAUUGAGCGAGACAAGGUGAAAGCCCUGUAUGAGUAAGAUUCAUUAUUUUUAGCGGUAUCCUGAGUAGCGCGGGACACGAGAAAUCCUGUGUGAAUCAGCGGGGACCAUCCCGUAAGGCUAAAUACUCCCGAGAGACCGAUAGUGGACAAGUACCGUGAGGGAAAGGUGAAAAGAACCUCGAACAGAGGAGUGAAAUAGAACCUGAAACCGUUUGCUUACAAUCAUUCAGAGCACUAUGCUAUACUCUUUAAAAUUAAUCCAGCUUGGCUUUUUAGCCCUUUUUUAUGAAACUGCGACUGCGGCAGCCGGAUCCGGCUAGCCUUGCCUUGUUUCAUAAAAAAUCAUCUAAAAAUCCUGCGCAUUUGAAAUUCUAAAUUUUGAUCUGAUAAAAUUUCAUCAUAAAUGACACAAGCAGAGCUUUAUGAUCUAAAUUUAGAGAUAACGAUUAGCGAUUAGUUUUAAUGAGUAUAGCAGUGUGAUGGACUGCCUUUUGCAUAAUGAGCCUGCGAGUUGUGGUGUCUGGCGAGGUUAAGGAAACCCGGAGCCGUAGCGAAAGCGAGUCUUAAUAGGGCGAUUAGUCAGAUGCUGCAGACCCGAAACGAUGUGAUCUAUCCAUGAGCAGGUUGAAGCCGGUGUAAGAGCCGGUGGAGGACCCAACCGACGGCCGUUGAAAAGGCUCCGGAUGACUUGUGGAUAGGGGUGAAAGGCCAAUCAAACAUCGUGAUAGCUGGUUCUCUCCGAAAUAUAUUGAGGUAUAGCGUCGUGUAGUAGUUAUAAGGGGUAGAGCACUGAAUGGGCUAGGGCAUACACCAAUGUACCAAACCCUAUCAAACUCCGAAUACUUAUAGCGUAACCACGGCAGUCAGGCGGCGAGUGAUAAAAUCCGUCGUCAAGAGGGAAACAACCCGGACUAACAGCUAAGGUCCCCAAAUCUCAUUUAAGUGGAAAACGAUGUGAAGUUACUGAAACAACCAGGAGGUUGGCUUAGAAGCAGCCAUCCUUUAAAGAAAGCGUAAUAGCUCACUGGUCUAGUGAUUUUGCGCGGAAAAUAUAACGGGGCUAAAAUGAGUACCGAAGCUUUAGAUAGUGUCUAUGAUUAUUUAUACUAGCUUGUCUCUUUGGCAUCUUUAAAUGAGCUUCAUUUUUUCUCCUGCGGCAACCUACACGGUUAGCCUUAGUCGAAAAAAUAUCAGCAACAUUUAAAUCUGCGCAAAGAUACUUCGCUUUCUGCAUUCAAAUUUGAAUGCAACGUCUUGAUCUAAAUUUUAUAAAUUUCAAAUUUCUUAGAAUUUUAAAAUUUAGCAACAAAAGCAAAAAGACAAGCCUAAGUAAAGUAUAAAUACUCAUAGACACUGUGGUAGGAGAGCGUUCCAAUCAGCGUUGAAGCCGUACCGGUAAGGAGCGGUGGAGCGGUUGGAAGUGAGCAUGCAGGCAUGAGUAGCGAUAAAAUACGUGAGAAUCGUAUUCGCCGUAAACCCAAGGUUUCCUACGCGAUGCUCGUCAUCGUAGGGUUAGUCGGGUCCUAAGCAAAGUCCGAAAGGGGUAUGCGAUGGAAAAUCGGUUAAUAUUCCGAUACCGAUAUCAGUGUGCGACGGAAGGACGCUUAAAGUUAGUGGAGCUAGCGGAUGGAAGUGCUAGUCUAAGGAAGUAGGUUGAGUUAUAGGCAAAUCCGUAACUCUUUAUCCGAGAUCUGAAAGGCUUCUGACGCUCUUCGGAGUAGAUGAAGAAUCCAUGAUACUAUCGAGCCGAGAAAAGUUUCUAAGUUUAGCUGAUAUCGCCCGUACCGUAAACCGACACAGGUGGGUGGGAUGAGUAUUCUAAGGCGCGUGGAAGAACUCUCUUCAAGGAACUCUGCAAAAUAGCACCGUAUCUUCGGUAUAAGGUGUGCCUAGCUUCGUUAAGAAUUUACUUCGUAAGCGAAGAAGGUUACAACAAAGAGUCCCUCCCGACUGUUUACCAAAAACACAGCACUCUGCUAACUCGUAAGAGGAUGUAUAGGGUGUGACGCCUGCCCGGUGCUCGAAGGUUAAUUGAUGACGUUAGCUCUGCGAAGCGUUUGAUCGAAGCCCGAGUAAACGGCGGCCGUAACUAUAACGGUCCUAAGGUAGCGAAAUUCCUUGUCGGUUAAAUACCGACCUGCAUGAAUGGCGUAACGAGAUGGGAGCUGUCUCAAAGAGGGAUCCAGUGAAAUUGUAGUGGAGGUGAAAAUUCCUCCUACCCGCGGCAAGACGGAAAGACCCCGUGGACCUUUACUAUAGCUUGACACUGCUACUUGGAUAAAGAUGCGCAGGAUAGGUGGGAGGCUUCGAUUCGUAGAUCUCGGUUUACGAUGAGCCAUUGUUGAGAUACCACUCUUCUUUAUUCGGGUAGCUAACUAGCCUAAGUUAUCCUUAGGUAGGACAAUGUCUGGUGGGUAGUUUGACUGGGGCGGUCGCCUCCCAAAAUGUAACGGAGGCUUACAAAGGUUGGCUCAAAGCGGUUGGAAAUCGCUUGUAGAGUAUAAAGGCAAAAGCCAGCUUAACUGCGAGACAUACACGUCGAGCAGAGACGAAAGUCGGUCUUAGUGAUCCGGUGGUUCUGUG
RNAcentral lists this ribosomal RNA (2917 nucleotides) under human oral metagenome. RNAcentral's name for it is "bacterial LSU rRNA". It matches the Rfam family "Bacterial large subunit ribosomal RNA", at positions 1 to 2433 of the family's 2925-position model. The record is from RNAcentral.